This 869-nucleotide ribosomal RNA is filed under the name uncultured archaeon. RNAcentral describes it as "bacterial SSU rRNA". It matches the Rfam family "Archaeal small subunit ribosomal RNA", at positions 1 to 878 of the family's 1478-position model. The record is from RNAcentral.
CUCCGGUGAUCCCUGCCGGACCUGACUGCUAUCGGAUUGGUACUAAGCCAUGCGAGUCAUUGUAGCAAUACAAGGCGGACGGCUCAGUAACACGUAGUCAACCUAACUCGUGGACGUGGAUAACCUCGGGAAACUGAGAAUAAACCACGAUAGAUCAUAGUGCCUGGAAUGGCUUAUGGUCCAAACAGUUUACCGCCAUGGGAUGGGACUGCGGCCUAUCAGCUUGUUGGUGAGGUAAUGGCCCACCAAGGCGAUUACAGGUACGGGCUCUGAGAGGAGAAGCCCGGAGAUGGGUACUGAGACACGGACCCAGGCCCUAUGGGGCGCAGCAGGCGAGAAACCUUAGCAAUGUGCGAAAGCACGACUGGGUCAGUCCGAGUGAUUCCUGAUAAAGGAGUCUUUUGCUUGUCCUAAAAGCACAGGUGAAUAAGGGGUGGGCAAGUCUGGUGUCAGCCGCCGCGGUAAUACCAGCACCUCGAGUGGUCAGGACGUUUAUUGGGCCUAAAGCAUCCGUAACCGGCUCUGCAAGUCUUCGGUUAAAUCCACCUGCUCAACAGAUGGGCUGCUGGAGAUACUACAGAGCUAGGGAGUGGGAGAGGCAGACGGUAUUCAGUGGGUAGGGGUAAAAUCCUCUGAUCCAUUGAGGACCACCAGUGGCGAAGGCGGUCUGCCAGAACGCGCUCGACGGUGAGGGAUGAAAGCUGGGGGAGCAAACCGGAUUAGAUACCCGGGUAGUCCCAGCUGUAAACGAUGCAGACUCGGUGAUGAGUUGGCUUAUUGCUAACUCAGUGCCGCAGGGAAGCCGUUAAGUUUGCCGCCUGGGGAGUACGGUCGCAAGACUGAAACUUAAAGGAAUUGGCGGGGGAGCA